Molecule: long non-coding RNA, 234 nt
Filed under: Fukomys damarensis (Damara mole-rat)
Lineage: Eukaryota; Metazoa; Chordata; Mammalia; Rodentia; Bathyergidae
Description: lncRNA (ENSFDAG00000027804.1)
Source: RNAcentral
GGAUGAGGAGGCUCUAGGUUUGCCAGCCCUCAAACCCAUCUUCUCCCUCUGCAUUAGGAGCCCCCCUGCUCUCCGCUCUCUGAAGGUCUGGUUUUUGGAACAAUCCAGGCAUACUCAUCCAAGUUUCACCUUCUGAAAGGAAAGAAAACUGCUGGGAUUGGAAAGCUCAGCUGAAGCUCCUCUACAAUUUUGCACUGCAGACAAGAGACAAUGAGACAGAAAAUUCAAAUGGCC